This is a non-coding RNA of Schistosoma rodhaini, 45 nucleotides long. The record is from Rfam. Lineage: Eukaryota; Metazoa; Platyhelminthes; Trematoda; Strigeidida; Schistosomatidae.
AUCCAGCUGACGAGUCUCAAAUAGAACGAAACAUACUUCCUGGAU